RNAcentral lists this ribosomal RNA (515 nucleotides) under uncultured bacterium. RNAcentral's name for it is "partial 16S ribosomal RNA". It matches the Rfam family "Bacterial small subunit ribosomal RNA", at positions 28 to 523 of the family's 1533-position model. The record is from RNAcentral.
GAUGAACGCUGGCGGCGUGCCUAAUACAUGCAAGUCGAGCGAAUGGAUUAAGAGCUUGCUCUUAUGAAGUUAGCGGCGGACGGGUGAGUAACACGUGGGUAACCUGCCCAUAAGACUGGGAUAACUCCGGGAAACCGGGGCUAAUACCGGAUAACAUUUUGAACCGCAUGGUUCGAAAUUGAAAGGCGGCUUCGGCUGUCACUUAUGGAUGGACCCGCGUCGCAUUAGCUAGUUGGUGAGGUAACGGCUCACCAAGGCAACGAUGCGUAGCCGACCUGAGAGGGUGAUCGGCCACACUGGGACUGAGACACGGCCCAGACUCCUACGGGAGGCAGCAGUAGGGAAUCUUCCGCAAUGGACUAAAGUCUGACGGAGCAACGCCGCGUGAGUGAUGAAGGCUUUCGGGUCGUAAAACUCUGUUGUUAGGGAAGAACAAGUGUUAGUUGAAUAAGCUGGCACCUUGACGGUACCUAACCAGAAAGCCACGGCUAACUACGCGCCAGCCGCCGCCGUAA